GCCUUCGUGGUGUGACGGUUAUCAUACUCGGCGCAUAUUCGAGAGGUCCAGGUUCGAGUCCCGGCGAGGUCG
This 72-nucleotide transfer RNA is filed under the name Stegodyphus mimosarum. It matches the Rfam family "tRNA". Rfam says of the family: Transfer RNA (tRNA) molecules are approximately 80 nucleotides in length. Lineage: Eukaryota; Metazoa; Arthropoda; Arachnida; Araneae; Eresidae. The record is from Rfam by way of RNAcentral.